RNAcentral lists this long non-coding RNA (307 nucleotides) under Lotus japonicus. RNAcentral describes it as "long non-coding RNA (LJAP_LNC000499)". Lineage: Eukaryota; Viridiplantae; Streptophyta; Magnoliopsida; Fabales; Fabaceae. The record is from RNAcentral.
UAGCAAGUGUCUUCAAUUCACAGACGCAUACAAAUGCACAAGCAAGUAAUAGAGGUGUUAAUCAUAGAGUGAGGUUCUCAAAAAGCAAGUAAUUGUACCUGUUUGUGAAAACCCCAAUCUCUUCGUUGCCAAUCCUGAAGCGUUUGCAGAAACCAGAAGAUCGAACCGAUCUGAACCUGAAGCGUUUGGGGAUGAGAAGAUACAAAGAUUAAGAUAUAAUUUUUUGCAGAAACGAGAAGAGACGCAACAGAUCCGAACCUGAAGCGUUUGCAGAAACGAGAUGAAACCAAAGUGGAGAUCGAACCUG